This 594-nucleotide ribosomal RNA is filed under the name uncultured bacterium. Its description in RNAcentral is "bacterial SSU rRNA". It matches the Rfam family "Bacterial small subunit ribosomal RNA", at positions 11 to 605 of the family's 1533-position model. The record is from RNAcentral.
GUUUGAUCCUGGCUCAGGAUGAACGCUAGCGGCAGGCUUAAUACAUGCAAGUCGAGGGGUAACAUGGGGUAGCAAUACUCUGAUGACGACCGGCAAACGGGUGCGGAACACGUACGCAACUUUCCCAAAACUGGUGAAUAGCCCUCCGAAAGGAGGAUUAAUACACCGUAACAUAUAGAGGUGGCAUCGCCUUUAUAUUAUAGCUCCGGCGGUUUUGGAUGGGCGUGCGCCUGAUUAGGUAGUUGGUGUGGUAACGGCUCACCAAGCCUACGAUCAGUAACUGGUGUGAGAGCACGACCAGUCACACGGGCACUGAGACACGGGCCCGACUCCUACGGGAGGCAGCAGUAAGGAAUAUUGGUCAAUGGACGAAAGUCUGAACCAGCCAUGCCGCGUGAAGGAUGAAGGCCCUCUGGGUUGUAAACUUCUUUUAUAGGGGACGAAAAAAGGGAAUUCCUUCCCACUUGACGGUACCCUAGGAAUAAGCACCGGCUAACUCCGUGCCAGCAGCCGCGGUAAUACGGAGGGUGCAAGCGUUAUCCCGGGAUUCACUGGGGUUUAAAGGGUGCGUAAGGGUGGGCAGUUAAAGUCAGU